AUGGGGUCCAUCCUGUGCUGCCUGUGCGGUCCCGACGACGAUGACGAGGCGCCGGGUUGCUGCGCCUGCCUGCCAUGGCCAGCCAGAGCGUACACACGGGUUGCGCCGGUUCCUCCCGAGGCCUCCACCGGCUCAGGGCAGGAGGAUCCAUUGAACACCUUCCGCCCCCCUCCUAGGGCUCUACCUUACGAUGAUCCUCGGUUCAGACAUCACACGGAGAAAUCUAUUCUGCUCGGAGAGAGAAGCAAUGCUGACACCGGAUCGACUCGCGAUGGUGAUGAGAAGGCUGAUGGACCGUCAAUGGAAGCUCAGCCGGGAGGGGGGAAACCCAGGGGAACUCAAGUCUGUGUUGAUUGUGACGAGGAUGACUGCCCGAUAUGCCUUGAGGAGUAUGACUACGAGAAUCCGAAGAUACUGCUGCAAUGCAACCAUGAUUUCCAUCUUGGUUGCAUCUACGCGUGGAUGGAGAGAAGCCAGUCUUGCCCGGUCUGUGCCGUCGUAAUGGUGUUCAAAGAGGACCAAUGA
This 525-nucleotide ribosomal RNA is filed under the name Triticum aestivum (bread wheat). RNAcentral describes it as "partial small subunit ribosomal RNA". The record is from RNAcentral. Lineage: Eukaryota; Viridiplantae; Streptophyta; Magnoliopsida; Poales; Poaceae.